Mustela lutreola (European mink) is the source of this 2074-nucleotide long non-coding RNA. RefSeq lists it as uncharacterized. The record is from RefSeq and is a predicted model, not a curated record. The transcript has 6 exons. Lineage: Eukaryota; Metazoa; Chordata; Mammalia; Carnivora; Mustelidae.
UCCUGCAGCAGCAUCUGGAGGAGAAGCUGGGAGGGUCCCAACCAACCACAGGGUGUUCUCUGGAGGCCCGGCUGAGGCGCGUGGGCGGAAACGGCCCCUGGUCUCCGCUUGCUUUCGGCAUGAAACACUCACGGAGCACACCACAAGGUUUUUCAGAGUGACACGAUAUAUAUUUAAGGGUGAGUCAAACCUCAAAUUACAUUGCCCAAGAACGGAGCCACUGCAAGGAAAGUGGCUAAAUUAUUGGCGUGAGGCACAGGAUGCCGGAGCCUAUGGCACGGAGAAACCACUAGUAAAAGUGGAAGGAAACGACUUUUGAAGAUAUUGCUACCUGUGCUAAGAAACCUCGAGUGCUUACCAACCGUUUCUGAUCAAACCUGAAAAGUUCAGAGAGCGAGAGGAUUUAAAAGAGGAUGGGUUAAAAAGCCUCACUCCCUUCCCUAGCCCUGUCCGCCUCUCCUUGGGCCGAAGGGGAACUUGCAGAACAUUGAAGAGAUGCCCAGACCGUGCAAAGCUAUAAGCGCCUUCAACUUACUAAGGAAUUAUGUUGGAACUAAGAGAAACUUAAGAGGUACUUGUUACAUGGAGUACAGUGAAAAAAAACCAACCACUGUAAUGAGAUUUCUCAAUUUGGGGCCCUUCCUGAGAACGCAGCGGCCCUCAGAGAUGAAGAGAGCCCCAUCAUAUACAUGAGAACUGAAGAAACGCCGUGCCUUCUGACAACCCCAUCUAGCAUAUGCCAACUCGAGGGUGCUGUGCUUCUAAUUUCAAACUCAUCAUCUGUUGGGGUACCACCACCAGCUGGCUUUGCCCUGGUUUUCUCACCAGGUGGCUCAGGGACCGUGCUCAGUGGGACAGUGAUGAGAAUGAAGAAAUGGAGAUUUUUGAGGGACUGAGUAAUCUGCCUGAAGUCGUAUAACGUGAAAAAACAGGAUUCAGACUAAAGCCUGUUUGACCUGAGAGUUUGUGUUCCUAAUCACGGUGCUAUGCUGUUUCCCUGUUUUUUUUUGUUGUUGUUGAAAGAGUAAAUAAUACGUGCUCCUCCACCCUGGCGAGAGUGUAAUAUUAGCAGAUCUCCUCUGCUUGAAGACGUCCUCUGUGACCCGGAGGAAGGGUCUUGGGUUGCUGUGCCAGCAACACAGACAUUACAACUCAAUACCACUGACCGAGAUUUAGAAAUACACACCCACACACGGAAGUCCACACUUUACCAUCGCACAUUCAGCGAAGUGACAUAAAGUAAACCCACAACAAUGGUUGUUCUUGGGGGUGGGGCAUAAGAGUGGGAAAUGAGGCUAAAAGGCAACAAAUAAAUACAUAAGACAAGAGAGGGGCUCCUUCCAGGGCCCAACCAUGACAAUGGCGUGGACUGAGAAACAUCAGCCUUUGGAUUUGAGCAUCUCCCCUCCCUGCAAAACAGAGUAAGAGGCAGGACAAGGGAAAAUUAGAUGAGGUUGAGAAAAGAUUUGGAGUGGCAAGGAAGACAUGCGUGAGUGCCGCCUUCCUCACAUUCAGAAAUCAUUCAUUUAGUCUUAAAAUGGAAGGACUUUAAUGCAAACAUCAGCUAUACCAAAGCAUGAGCUUGACUCCGUCGGGCAUUGAAUUUUGACGGAGAAUAAAAAGUCCGAGGUUCUCUCUGCAAAGGCAGAUGCUUAACAGACUGAGCCACCCAGGCAGCCCUAUGCUGGGUUUUGAAGGGGGGUAGACUUCUGAUAGCAAAGGCAUCAAAAUACCACAAUAGAGGGGAAUGUCCCAAACAGACAGACAGACAGACAGUCAGGUGGGCCCCAGGCAUGCUGGGACAUCUGCCAGGAACCGUUCAGAGCAGAAGACCAUAGUGUUCAGAUCUCAGCUUCCAGAUGAGUGUAAACUAGGAAACUGACCAACUAAAGACAUUCUUUACAGCCUGGUUGGGUGAGCAGGCAUUGGAGUGUGUAUCUGAGAUUAAAAGUAUGAGCAUGUGGGGUGCCUAGGUGGCUCAGAUGAUUAAGCGUUUGCCUUCGGCUCAGGUCAUGAUCUCUGGGUCCUGGGAUCGAGCCCCAUGUCGGGUUUCCAGCUCAGCAGGGAGCCUGCU